Prunus mume (Japanese apricot) is the source of this 96-nucleotide long non-coding RNA. RefSeq lists it as uncharacterized. Lineage: Eukaryota; Viridiplantae; Streptophyta; Magnoliopsida; Rosales; Rosaceae. The record is from RefSeq and is a predicted model, not a curated record.
GAUGAUACCACUUUGGAUGAGAAUUCUUUGAUGCAUGAGGAAGAAGCCAAACAUGAAGUAGCCUUAAUGCAUCAUGAAAAAGCAAACCAGAAAAAA